This is a small nuclear RNA of Brassica oleracea var. oleracea, 103 nucleotides long. The record is from Rfam. NCBI's taxonomy places the organism in Eukaryota, Viridiplantae, Streptophyta, Magnoliopsida, Brassicales, Brassicaceae.
GUCUCUUCGGGGAAAUCCGAUAAAAUUGGAACGAUACAGAGAAGAUUUGCAUGGGCCCUGCGCAAGGAUGACACGCACAAAUCGAAAAAUUGUCCAAAUUUUG